UGAUCAUACUAAAGAGUCCUGUGCACAAUGGAAAAUAAGACAAGACAUGAAAAUUUUGAAGAAGAGAGAAUACAUCUUUUCUGUGGUUGAACACAACACAUGUUUGCAAAACCAUGAUUUGCUAUUUGCAAAACCAUGAGCCAGUGCAACUUAACCGUGGGAAGGAUAUUACCAUGAUAUAUCUGUUUUGUUACUUUUGCUAAAUAUGAUUCAUAUUUAGCAAAACUAUCAGAAAUCUCGUAUUCGUCUUAGUGAUUUAACAUUACAUUUAUUCUUGUCGAACUAGAACACUUGCCUUAUAGG
This 303-nucleotide unclassified non-coding RNA is filed under the name Hevea brasiliensis (rubber tree). Lineage: Eukaryota; Viridiplantae; Streptophyta; Magnoliopsida; Malpighiales; Euphorbiaceae. The record is from RNAcentral.